ACAAAAACCUCAAACCUGAGCAGCCCCAAUUACCUACCGAUGAUGAUACCCACCUCAAAAACCCAGAAACUCUCCCAAUCGAUUUUCUAAGGUUUGCUCAGCCAUGGAAUCUGGGUUCUGGACGGUACCUAUGGAGGCAUUAAUUUGGUCACGUCUUCCACAAAGUCAAAGGAUUGACCUCUUUAGCGAACUGGGUCUUGCUCCUAAUAACACAUAUAUGUUCAGGUUUGAGAUUAACUACUAUGGUGGUGGUGGUGUAUGAUGUUGAAAGCUCAUUUGAUAAGAUGUGUAAUUUUUCA
Molecule: long non-coding RNA, 299 nt
Organism: Rosa chinensis
Lineage: Eukaryota; Viridiplantae; Streptophyta; Magnoliopsida; Rosales; Rosaceae
Exons: 2
Source: RefSeq, a predicted model, not a curated record